Transfer RNA from Exophiala dermatitidis, 72 nucleotides. It matches the Rfam family "tRNA". Rfam says of the family: Transfer RNA (tRNA) molecules are approximately 80 nucleotides in length. Their secondary structure includes four short double-helical elements and three loops (D, anti-codon, and T loops). Further hydrogen bonds mediate the characteristic L-shaped molecular structure. tRNAs have two regions of fundamental functional importance: the anti-codon, which is responsible for specific mRNA codon recognition, and the 3' end, to which the tRNAs corresponding amino acid is attached (by aminoacyl-tRNA synthetases). tRNAs cope with the degeneracy of the genetic code in two manners: having more than one tRNA (with a specific anti-codon) for a particular amino acid; and 'wobble' base-pairing, i.e. permitting non-standard base-pairing at the 3rd anti-codon position. The record is from Rfam. Lineage: Eukaryota; Fungi; Ascomycota; Eurotiomycetes; Chaetothyriales; Herpotrichiellaceae.
GGGGGUAUAGUUUAAUUGGUAAAACAGCGAGUUUGCAAUUCGUCAUUUUAGGUUCGAUUCCUGAUAUCUCCA